Anastrepha ludens (Mexican fruit fly) is the source of this 1079-nucleotide long non-coding RNA. RefSeq lists it as uncharacterized. The record is from RefSeq and is a predicted model, not a curated record. The transcript has 3 exons. NCBI's taxonomy places the organism in Eukaryota, Metazoa, Arthropoda, Insecta, Diptera, Tephritidae.
UCGAAUGUCAAUUUGGUAUUAUCAGCGGUGCAACCCUGUCGAAAUUCUCGUUGUACUAUAUACCGAAUUUAGAGUCGAAUGCAAUUUUGCUUUCGAUUGUGUAGCGUAUUGUGGGAAAAAUUGUUAAAAUGUCGAAAGUCGUACCAAAUAGCAACUAGAAAGACUGGUUGCAUUAAUGGAAGAGAACCCACAAUUCGCAAAAGGGAGUUGCACUAAAGUUCAAGCAGCAAAAAAAAUGAUGGGAGUUUAUAACGGAGCUGAAUUGCUUGGGACCACCAGUUUGAACUGUAGCAAAAUGGAUUAAGGUAUGGGCUGACAUGAAGUCAAAAGCGAAGAAAAAAAUGUCGCAAAACAAAGCUGAACUCCGAGCAACACUUAGGGGCCCUAACAAACUUCAGGGAUUUUCAAAUAGCGAAGAAAAGUAUAAUCGGUUUACUGCAUCUUGAUGCCUGCAUAAAUCCGCCUGGGGUGGAAUUUGGCCUGGAUACAAGUAGCAGUGACCAGUUCACAGUUUUGUGCCCGUCAAAUCCCAGCCUAGAACUUCUGGUCCAAAACUCUGAGGAAAGUGAAGCGGAAUUAAAUUUAAAGCUUCACGAGGAAUCAGCAGGAAAAACGAGGACAAAUAAAAAGUCUCAAAAGGCAGAGAGAUUGAGGUUAAUGGAGUUGCAGACUGAUGGCCAAGAACGAUUCAAUGAAGAAAUAAUUUCUACCUUGCAAUGUGCUGCAGAAACAGCGGAAUAUACUGUUACACUAAUCUUUCAUCGUCCGAUGAAUCGUCGAACCACAACUCCGUUGUACUAAUUUUCACAAAAAGUACUUUUUUUAACUUUUAAAAAUGUUGUAAACAAAGAAUUUCAAUACAAUCACUUUUAUUUUGAUUUGCUGUAUCAGCUGAGAAAAAAUUAUCUAUUAUAAAUGCGUCGAGCUAUCGAAAUUUACAAUAGUCCUGUUCUUCCGCGAAUGAGCACCAUAAUACCAAAUGAAAAUUCGUUCGAUCGUGUUGAUCGAACUACUGUCGAAGAUCGAAUGUUGCUCAUAAUAAGGGUCAAUAAUGGAAGAAAACGAAUCGAAAUAGAGAA